GACGAACGCUGGCGGCGUGCUUAACACAUGCAAGUCGUACGGUAAGGCCCUUUCGGGGGUACACGAGUGGCGAACGGGUGCGUAACACGUGAGUAACCUGCCCACAACUUUGGGAUAACGCUAGGAAACUGGUGCUAAUACUGGAUAUGUGCCCCUGCUGCAUGGUGGGGGUUGGAAAGCUCCGGCGGUUGUGGAUGGACUCGCGGCCUAUCAGCUUGUUGGUGGGGUAGUGGCCUACCAAGGCGGCGACGGGUAGCCGGCCUGAGAGGGUGACCGGCCACAUUGGGACUGAGAUACGGCCCAGACUCCUACGGGAGGCAGCAGUGGGGAAUAUUGCACAAUGGGCGCAAGCCUGAUGCAGCAACGCCGCGUGCGGGAUGACGGCCUUCGGGUUGUAAACCGCUUUCAGCAGGGACGAAGCUUUUUGUGACGGUACCUGCAGAAGAAGCACCGGCUAACUACGU
Molecule: ribosomal RNA, 464 nt
Filed under: uncultured bacterium
Lineage: Bacteria
Description: partial 16S ribosomal RNA
Rfam family: Bacterial small subunit ribosomal RNA
Source: RNAcentral